RNAcentral lists this small nucleolar RNA (66 nucleotides) under Mus musculus (house mouse). Its description in RNAcentral is "predicted gene, 54444 (ENSMUSG00002076078.1)". Lineage: Eukaryota; Metazoa; Chordata; Mammalia; Rodentia; Muridae. The record is from RNAcentral.
AAUCAAAUAGAUUAAAAAAAAAACAUUAAAAAGGCAAUACUGGCCAGUCCUGGUGUCUGAGUGAUU